This 445-nucleotide ribosomal RNA is filed under the name uncultured Gordonia sp. RNAcentral's name for it is "bacterial SSU rRNA". It matches the Rfam family "Bacterial small subunit ribosomal RNA", at positions 337 to 794 of the family's 1533-position model. The record is from RNAcentral. Lineage: Bacteria; Bacillati; Actinomycetota; Actinomycetes; Mycobacteriales; Gordoniaceae.
UCCUACGGGAGGCAGCAGUGGGGAAUAUUGCACAAUGGGCGCAAGCCUGAUGCAGCGACGCCGCGUGAGGGAUGACGGCCUUCGGGUUGUAAACCUCUUUCNCCNGGGACGAAGCGCAAGUGACGGUACCUGGAGAAGAAGCACCGGCCAACUACGUGCCAGCAGCCGCGGUAAUACGUAGGGUGCGAGCGUUGUCCGGAAUUACUGGGCGUAAAGAGCUCGUAGGCGGUUUGUCGCGUCGUCUGUGAAAUUCUGCAACUCAAUUGCAGGCGUGCAGGCGAUACGGGCAGACUUGAGUACUACAGGGGAGACUGGAAUUCCUGGUGUAGCGGUGAAAUGCGCAGAUAUCAGGAGGAACACCGGUGGCGAAGGCGGGUCUCUGGGUAGUAACUGACGCUGAGGAGCGAAAGCGUGGGGAGCGAACAGGAUUAGAUACCCUGGUAGA